RNAcentral lists this non-coding RNA (30 nucleotides) under Mus musculus (house mouse). Lineage: Eukaryota; Metazoa; Chordata; Mammalia; Rodentia; Muridae. The record is from RNAcentral.
UAGGCCUUAAGAAAUCAGUCUUUAGGCAUU